Molecule: ribosomal RNA, 300 nt
Filed under: Bradyrhizobium elkanii
Lineage: Bacteria; Pseudomonadati; Pseudomonadota; Alphaproteobacteria; Hyphomicrobiales; Nitrobacteraceae
Description: partial 16S ribosomal RNA
Rfam family: Bacterial small subunit ribosomal RNA
Source: RNAcentral
GGGGGCGUCGCGCAUACCAUGCAAGUCGAGCGGGCAUGCAAUAUGUCAGCGGCAGACGGGUGAGUAACGCGCUGGGAACGUACCUUUUGGUUCGGAACAACUGAGGGAAACUUCAGCUAAUACCGGAUAAGCCCUUACGGGGAAAGAUUUAUCGCCGAAAGAUCGGCCCGCGUCUGAUUAGCUAGUUAGAGGAUCUCACCGGUGAGGAUUAGCUCACUCCCUAUAUCUCCUUUGAGGUACCCCCCUCUCUACAGCCCUCCACAAUCUGUAUUUCUGCUUUCCCCCCCCCCUCCUAAAAAC